GACAGAGGUGCCAAGCGUUAGGCGGAAUCACUGGGCUUAAAGCGUGUGUAGGCGGGUGGCUAAGUAACUUGGGAAAUCCCACGGCUCAACCGUGGAACUGCUGGGUAUACUGUGUGCCUUGGGUCAUCUAGGGGCUGCCGGAACAAAUGGUGGAGCGGUGAAAUGCGUAGAUAUCAUUUGGAACGCCAACGGCGAAAGCAGGCAGCUGGGGAUGCACCGACGCUGAGACACGAAAGCCAGGGGAGCGAACGGG
Molecule: ribosomal RNA, 253 nt
Filed under: uncultured bacterium
Lineage: Bacteria
Description: partial 16S ribosomal RNA
Rfam family: Bacterial small subunit ribosomal RNA
Source: RNAcentral